Molecule: long non-coding RNA, 3488 nt
Organism: Rhinopithecus roxellana (golden snub-nosed monkey)
Lineage: Eukaryota; Metazoa; Chordata; Mammalia; Primates; Cercopithecidae
Exons: 3
Source: RefSeq, a predicted model, not a curated record
CUCCAGAACUGGGAGAAAUAAAUUCCUUUUCUUUAUAAAUUACCCAGUCUCAGGUAUUUUGUUAUAGCAGCAGAAAUGGACUAGGACACUCACUAAGAUGAGCGAGUACUCUACGGCUGGUCACAACGUGGAAGGGACUGGAAUGUUUGCAGCCUGAGGAGUUGCUUCUGUAGAGGAGGAGAUUUGGAGUGUCGCCUUCUGGAUCCGAGUGGCCCUGCUUAUUCAUAAGGAUGGAAAUGACUUGGUAAAUAUUCCAUUUCUGCCAAGAUGCCCGCCAACCAGUGCAUGCCAAGACUAUGAGGCACCAUGAAUCCCUGGCUGGCUCACAUGAAGGCAAAUCCCCUUCAGGACCAGGAAGACCAGGUCACUUUGUCCAAAGGUGGUCCAGUUCCAGAUACUCAGGUCUUCUUUAGACGUCACCUUCUCUUGACCUGCUUUCUCUUGGCCUAGCACCUCUUUCAGUCAUCACUGAUAUCACUUGCUUUCAGAUUCAGAUAUCUAAAGACUCUCCCCUAGGGCACAAAGUCCUAUCUCAUCCAUCUUUAUGAAGAUAGUGCACAGUGGCGGCAGGGGGUACCUGAAAGACCUGGGCUUUCACAUUGUGCAGACCUGGGUGUGAGCUGGGCUCCACUGUGUGCCAGCUGAGAUUGGGUGAUUUGCUGAACUGCUCUGCACUUCAAGUUUCUCAUCUGUUAGCAGGGAUUUAAAAUCUGUUUUGCAAGGAUGUUGUGUGGAGAUGAAAUGUGACACCUAUGUGAUGCAUGCAAACAGUCCCUGGCACAAAAUCAGUGCUUGAUGCCAUGACUCAGAGGCUCUGCCUGGUCCCUUGCCCAAGCUCGUCUAUCCUUCUUUUUAUGUCCCUUAGUAUCUUUCUUAGCUCCUUCCAUAGGAGAUAUCUGGGCCCAUUUUCUGAGCAAGCACCAGCUCUAUCCCACAAUUUCUACCUCCUUCCUCCCCACUUUCCUCCUCACCAUCCAAUUCUGGGUCCGUGGACUUAGUUACAUACUAGUCAGCUCUCUGCCAGCCCUGAGGGCCUGGCUGGACUCCUGCUGGAUGGGACCCUGUGCCUUGGGUGGAGGGAGGAUCUGGACAGUCUUCCAGCAGCCUCUGCACUGUUGGCCAUGGAGUUGAGGGCAGUGGAUCCCUAUGGUUCGUCUCAGUUGCUGUGCCAUCAAGACUGGGGGAUGGGGUGGGCAGUGAGUAGAUUAGAUCUCAAUAUUCAAGUGUUGUCUGUGGACCGGCAGCACUGGCGGUCACCUUGGAGCUUGUUAGAAAUGAUAACUCUUGGCCCACUGAAUCACAAUCUUCAUCUUAACAAGAUUUCCAGUCAUUCCUUCUGAGCCCUGGGUUGGCCCCUAGUGGGCAAGUGCCCCUCAAAUCACUACACAGGAGAACUGUUGGCAAGAUGAUUCUUCCCUCCGGGGUCAGCAAAGGUAUCUGCAAAUCCUUCAGUAGGGGUGUAUGUGGUUAAAACACGCACUAAAGUCUAAUUUAUUUAUGCAGGAAUCAUUUUUAAAUUUCUUUCCAGAUUGUUAAAGUAAACCUUUGAAUCCUGACCCAUCUGUGAUGUAAGAUGUGACUGGCCUUGCUUCAUGUAUAGAAGUCACACCCCACAAUAACAAUGUAGGGGAGGGAAGGUAAUAUCUUUUCCUCACCCAUGGAACGAGGGCCUUAUGACCUACUUUAGCUCAGGGAAUUCUUUUAUGGUCUGCUUCAGGUUAGCAGGCCUGUGCCCAUGUCAUUCAGUAAAGUCUCCCUAAACCAUAGCCACUCUGACCCUUUCUCAUUACGGAGACAGAAUCACACACACAUACACACAUACACGAACAGGCCAUGACAUGAUGUUUUCCACCCCCGAACCUGUGCUUAUAUGUUAUCUCUUCUGCCUGGGAUGUCCUUGCUGUCCUUUGGGUGAAUUUUAGUCAUCCUUUAAGUUUCAUUUAAAGUGUCAGCUCAGUCACAGUGCCCUGUGUAAGAUGGCUGCGUGAUGGUGUUUCUGCUGUUACCACAUUGCAUUCCAGUGUUCUGUUGUUGAUGUGAUCACCUCCUGGAAACACUGAACUCAGUGAGGGCAAGUUCUGUGUUGUAUUUAUUCAUCUUUGUAUCUCCACACCCAGCACCAUGACAGGCAGGCUGGAGAUGCCCCAUAGAUGCUUAUUGCAUACGCAGAAAAAAAGCUUAGCUUGCUGUGAUGGCUUUUUGUUUUGUCCUUUGGAGUUUAAUCAAAAUAAAAGAAAAUAACUGCAGACUCUAAACGUUUGGAAAGUUUCUGUAAAACCUUACAACCCAAAUGCAAAAAAAAGAUCAAAGGGAAAUUAGACAGCAAUUUGUUUUUAAAAAAUGUAGUGGCAUUUUAAUUAGAGAAUAUUCUUCUCAUUGAAAUGAGAAACUCCCAGGGAAAUACUUGAUGUGUUAGAGUCUCCCUCCUCACAUUUUUUUCUCCAGCUAUUACAGGACCUGCUGAGCAGGCUUUGUGAAGGAAAGCUCCUAGGAUGCUGCACAAUGAAGACACUCAGCACUUACACAGCGCUCUGCUCUUGCCACAAUUACGCCUUUCACUUCUCCCAGCCCUGCGGGGGGGAAGCCCGAGUUAUUGAAUUUGAUGGCUAAGAGGCCCUGAGGAUAAAUGACUUGUUCGAGUCUAGGCAACUGGACUGUCACAGGCAGAAUUCAGAGUUUUGGACCUGCUUCUCAUGCCAAGCAGUUUGUUCUGACCUCAGAAGGGAAUCCCUUUUUGACAAGCAAUGCACAUGGACCCCAAAGAGUCCCCAGAAGGCAGUCGUUUGGAGGGGAUCACUGGGUGUCACAAAUCGGUAACAUUUUCAAAACUCAAUAUGGGGAUGACUGUAGGAUUGCCAUCUUGUAAUCUUGCUAAUUAGGAAUAUGAAGAAAAUAUAUGGCCAGAAUUAUGCCUUAAAGAAAAUAAAUUUUUAUGCUAAAAAAUAAGGAAUUGUUUCAGAACAAAGCCCAGGUUUUUUUUUUAAUUGAAUAUAGUUUUAUUAAAAACACAGCACAUUGUAGUUAUUUUUCUCAUUUUACAGGAGACCAAUGAAAACUGGCAGUAGUUUAGAUUAGUGCUUGGGAAUGGCUGUUUUUAACUUAAUAUGCUAGAUCCAUGUUUUCUGUAGAAAUGCCAAAGCCAACCUUCUGUAGCAGAAAAAGUGAGUUAAGAUUCACCUGCUGGCAUUCUAUGCCCAGGGCAGUCACCUGCUUCCUCUUUCUGCAACUAUGGAAGUAGGCGUUACUUGACAUUCUGAAAGUACUGUCAGAAAGUAAUUCUGACAGCACUUUCCAUAAUUGGUGUGUUGUGGCUCUGCUUCAUGUUCACUAGAGAGAGAAGAUGGAAGACUAAGGAAGCCUCGAUGUAAUCUUUCUUAGUGAGUUUUAGGUAGGAGUAGGUGAUAUAGUUUGGCUGUGUCCCCACCCAAAUCUCAUCUUGAAUUGUAACUUCCACAAUUCCUAAGUGUUGUGGGAGGGACCUGGUGGAA